AGCAGUAGCCACGGGAAUACGAAGGGUGCAAGCGUUACUCGGAAUUACUGGGCGUAAAGCGUGCGUAGGUGGUGGUUUAAGUCCGUUGUGAAAGCCCUGGGCUCAACCUGGGAAUUGCAGUGGAUACUGGGUCACUAGAGUGUGGUAGAGGAUAGUGGAAUUUCCGGUGUAGCAGUGAAAUGCGUAGAGAUCGGAAGGAACAUCUGUGGCGAAGGCGACUAUCUGGGCCAACACUGACACUGAGGCACGAAAGCGUGGGGAGCAAACAGGAUUAGAUACCCGAGUAGUCCCUGUCUCUUAUAA
RNAcentral lists this ribosomal RNA (303 nucleotides) under uncultured bacterium. Its description in RNAcentral is "partial 16S ribosomal RNA". It matches the Rfam family "Bacterial small subunit ribosomal RNA", at positions 507 to 809 of the family's 1533-position model. The record is from RNAcentral.